Molecule: ribosomal RNA, 410 nt
Filed under: uncultured bacterium
Lineage: Bacteria
Description: bacterial SSU rRNA
Rfam family: Bacterial small subunit ribosomal RNA
Source: RNAcentral
AACGAACGUUAGCGGCGCGCUUAACACAUGCAAGUCGAACGAGAAAGGGCUUCGGCCCCGGUACAGUGGCGCACGGGUGAGUAACACGUGGGUAAUCUACCCUCGAGCGGGGGAUAACGUUCCGAAAGGAGCGCUAAUACCGCAUAAGACCACGCUCUCGAAAGGGAGCGAGGUAAAAGUAGGCCUCUGAAUUCACGCUUACACUCGAGGAUGAGCCCGCGGCCCAUCAUGGUAGUUGGUAGGGUAAUGGCCUACCAAGCCGAAGACGGGUAGCUGGUCUUAGAGGAUGAUCAGCCACACUGGAACUGAGACACGGUCCAGACUCUUACGGGAGGCAGCAGUGGGGAAUCUUGCGCAAUGGGCGAAAGCCUGACGCAGCGACGCCGCGUGGGUGAUGAAGGCCUUCGGUC